Molecule: transfer RNA, 114 nt
Filed under: Fidelibacterota bacterium
Lineage: Bacteria; Pseudomonadati; Fidelibacterota
Description: tRNA-Ser
Source: RNAcentral
GUCUUGGAUGUUGUUUUAAUGGUCAAUAUUCUUGUAGGUGGUCUACCUCAAUCUAACUAACAUCAUCCUGCUUUGGGAGCAGGGGGUCGCAGGUUCGAAUCCUGCACCUCGACA